RNAcentral lists this ribosomal RNA (253 nucleotides) under uncultured bacterium. RNAcentral's name for it is "partial 16S ribosomal RNA". It matches the Rfam family "Bacterial small subunit ribosomal RNA", at positions 524 to 776 of the family's 1533-position model. The record is from RNAcentral.
UACGGAGGGAGCUAGCGUUGUUCGGAAAUACUGGGCGUAAAGCGCACGUAGGCGGCGCAGCAAGUCAGGGGUGAAAUCCCGGGGCUCAACCUCGGAACUGCCUCUGAAACUGCAGUGCUAGAAUCUUGGAGAGGCGAGUGGAAUUCCGAGUGUAGAGGUGAAAUUCGUAGAUAUUCGGAAGAACACCAGUGGCGAAGGCGACUCGCUGGACAAGUAUUGACGCUGAGGUGCGAAAGCGUGGGGAGCAAACAGG